RNAcentral lists this ribosomal RNA (541 nucleotides) under Tor tambroides (Thai mahseer). RNAcentral describes it as "partial 16S ribosomal RNA". It matches the Rfam family "Bacterial large subunit ribosomal RNA", at positions 1913 to 2605 of the family's 2925-position model. Lineage: Eukaryota; Metazoa; Chordata; Actinopteri; Cypriniformes; Cyprinidae. The record is from RNAcentral.
UGACCACAAGUUCAACGGCCGCGGUAUUUUGACCGUGCAAAGGUAGCGCAAUCACUUGUCUUUUAAAUAGAGACCUGUAUGAAUGGCUAAACGAGGGCUUAACUGUCUCCCUUUUCAGGUCAGUGAAAUUGAUCUACCCGUGCAGAAGCGGGUAUAACAAUACAAGACGAGAAGACCCUUUGGAGCUUAAGGUACAAAACUCAACCACGUAAAGCAACUUAAUAAAAAAUAAAAACUUUGUGAAACAUGAGAUUUUACCUUCGGUUGGGGCGACCGCGGAGGAAAAAAAAGCCUCCAAGUGGACCGGGACAAACUCCUAAAACCAAGAGAAACAUCUCUAAGCCACAGAACAUCUGACCAAACAUGAUCCGGCCACCAGGACCGAUCAACGAACCAAGUUACCCUAGGGAUAACAGCGCAAUCCCCUCCCAGAGUCCAUAUCGACGAGGGGGUUUACGACCUCGAUGUUGGAUCAGGACAUCCUAAUGGUGCAGCCGCUAUUAAGGGUUCGUUUGUUCAACGAUUAAAGUCCUACGUGAUC